Molecule: unclassified non-coding RNA, 112 nt
Organism: Aotus nancymaae (Ma's night monkey)
Lineage: Eukaryota; Metazoa; Chordata; Mammalia; Primates; Aotidae
Rfam family: Y RNA
About the family: Y RNAs are components of the Ro ribonucleoprotein particle (Ro RNP), in association with Ro60 and La proteins.
Source: Ensembl
GGCUGCUCUGACGGCAGUGAGUUAUCUCAACUGAUUGUUCACAGUCAGUUACAGAUCGAAAUCUUUGUUCUACUCUCUCCCCCUUUUCACUACUGUACUUGAAAAGCCUUAA